This 492-nucleotide ribosomal RNA is filed under the name uncultured bacterium. RNAcentral's name for it is "partial 16S ribosomal RNA". It matches the Rfam family "Bacterial small subunit ribosomal RNA", at positions 29 to 507 of the family's 1533-position model. The record is from RNAcentral.
AGUGAACGCUGGCGGUAGGCCUAACACAUGCAAGUCGAACGGCAGCACAGUAAGAGCUUGCUCUUACGGGUGGCGAGUGGCGGACGGGUGAGGAAUACAUCGGAAUCUACUUUUUCGUGGGGGAGAGCGUAGGGAAACUUACGCUAAUACCGCAUACGACCUACGGGUGAAAGCAGGGGAUCUUCGGACCUUGCGCGAUUGAAUGAGCCGAUGUCGGAUUAGCUAGUUGGCGGGGUAAAGGCCCACCAAGGCGACGAUCCGUAGCUGGUCUGAGAGGAUGAUCAGCCACACUGGAACUGAGACACGGUCCAGACUCCUACGGGAGGCAGCAGUGGGGAAUAUUGGACAAUGGGCGCAAGCCUGAUCCAGCCAUACCGCGUGGGUGAAGAAGGCCUUCGGGUUGUAAAGCCCUUUUGUUGGGAAAGAAAAGCAGCAGGUUAAUACCCCGCUGUUCUGACGGUACCCAAAGAAUAAGCACCGGCUAACUUCGUG